RNAcentral lists this ribosomal RNA (478 nucleotides) under unidentified eubacterium K66. Its description in RNAcentral is "bacterial SSU rRNA". It matches the Rfam family "Bacterial small subunit ribosomal RNA", at positions 28 to 507 of the family's 1533-position model. The record is from RNAcentral.
GAUGAACGCUAGCGGCAGGCUUAACACAUGCAAGUCGAGGGGUAUAGGUUUUCGGACCUAGAGACCGGCGCACGGGUGCGUAACGCGUAUGCAAUCUACCUUUCACAGAGGGAUAGCCCAGAGAAAUUUGGAUUAAUACCUCAUAGUAUAAUGACUCGGCAUCGAGACAUUAUUAAAGUCACAACGGUGAAAGAUGAGCAUGCGUCCCAUUAGCUAGUUGGUAAGGUAACGGCUUACCAAGGCGACGAUGGGUAGGGGUCCUGAGAGGGAGAUCCCCCACACUGGUACUGAGACACGGACCAGACUCCUACGGGAGGCAGCAGUGAGGAAUAUUGGACAAUGGGCGCAAGCCUGAUCCAGCCAUGCCGCGUGCAGGAUGACGGUCCUAUGGAUUGUAAACUGCUUUUGCACAGGAAGAAACAACGCUACGUGUAGCGUCUUGACGGUACUGUGAGAAUAAGGAUCGGCUAACUCCGUG